This 253-nucleotide ribosomal RNA is filed under the name uncultured bacterium. RNAcentral's name for it is "partial 16S ribosomal RNA". It matches the Rfam family "Bacterial small subunit ribosomal RNA", at positions 524 to 776 of the family's 1533-position model. The record is from RNAcentral.
UACGGAGGGGGCGAGCGUUAUUCGGAAUUAUUGGGCGUAAAGGGCGCGUAGGCGGCGCGAUAAGUCAAAGGUGAAAUCCCUCGGCUCAACUGAGGAACUGCCUUUGAAACUGUCGAGCUCGAGGCCGGGAGGGGGUAGCGGAAUUCCCAGUGUAGCGGUGAAAUGCGUAGAUAUUGGGAGGAACACCAGUGGCGAAGGCGGCUACCUGGACCGGUUCUGACGCUGAUGCGCGAAAGCGUGGGGAGCAAACAGG